AGUGAACGCUGGCGGCAGGCCUAACACAUGCAAGUCGAGCGGCAGCGGGUCCCCGCGAGGGGAUGCCGGCGAGCGGCGGACGGGUGAGGAACACAUCGGAAUCUGCCUGGUUGUGGGGGAUAACGUAGGGAAACUUACGCUAAUACCGCAUGCGACCCUGAGUCGACGGACUGGGGGUGGAAAGUGAGGGACCUUCGGCCGUCACGCGACCAGAUGAGCCGAUGUCGGAUUAGCUAGUUGGCGGGGGUAAC
RNAcentral lists this ribosomal RNA (251 nucleotides) under uncultured bacterium. RNAcentral's name for it is "partial 16S ribosomal RNA". It matches the Rfam family "Bacterial small subunit ribosomal RNA", at positions 30 to 262 of the family's 1533-position model. The record is from RNAcentral.